Molecule: long non-coding RNA, 366 nt
Filed under: Mytilus galloprovincialis (Mediterranean mussel)
Lineage: Eukaryota; Metazoa; Mollusca; Bivalvia; Mytilida; Mytilidae
Source: RNAcentral
GCGGCAGUGGUGGAUCCAGGGGGAGGGUUCCGGUGGUUGGAUCCCCCCCGGCCCUUUUUUGGACGAUCAAUGCAUUUGAAUGGGGACAUGUACUUGGCAAACCCCAAAUUUUGUACUUGCGCCAGACGCGCGUUUCGUCUACAAAGAACACAUCAAUGUCGCUCGAAACAAACGUGACAAAAAAUUAGAUUUUUUAAAUAUUUUUGCUGUUUCUAUUGUAACGGCCGCCAUUUUAAAAUUUCAAAUUUCAAAGUCAAACAACGGCUGCAUAUUGUGCUCCCCAUGAUAAUAUACCAUCAUUUAACAUUUAAUAUCUGUAGAAUUAAUUCAACACUAAUGUUCUGGAAGGUUCCAUGAAAAUUCUCC